GCCUGUAGCAGUUGACAGCCAAGUUGUUGACAAUUUGCUUCCACGGUGAAAUUGUUCUCUCUUUGUCCUUAUUGGUGUCGCAGGGGAAAAGAAAGUAUUUCAACGGAGUGCAUGGGACGUGAUGCAGCUCAACACAGAUUGUAAUGGAGGACGAUGCUAAGGAGAGGAUGAUGGAACAUGCUGACAGUCACGGUGUGCGGCCUCACCAUGGAAAAUUACAUUGAAAGGUUUGUUUUACUUUCACUGUCCAAACAGUAGGCUACAUACAAUGCAUACAAAUUA
This is a long non-coding RNA of Engraulis encrasicolus (European anchovy), 282 nucleotides long. RefSeq lists it as uncharacterized. NCBI's taxonomy places the organism in Eukaryota, Metazoa, Chordata, Actinopteri, Clupeiformes, Engraulidae. The transcript is spliced from 3 exons. The record is from RefSeq and is a predicted model, not a curated record.